GAUUGGUCCUUCUUCCACACUAAGCACCAGUUUCUACCUGAAAGCCGGCAUCUACUUCAAUGAGCAAACUUCUCCUCACAGCCUGCAGGUGACUGUCAAACUGAGUGAACUGAGCAUAUUUUGAGGAGAGGAAUCCAAGGAAAGAGCCACAGGACCUGAGGCCUCCAAACUGGUAGAGCUGUUCCUCUGUCAGAUGCUUGAUACAUAGGCAGGACAU
RNAcentral lists this long non-coding RNA (217 nucleotides) under Cavia porcellus (domestic guinea pig). RNAcentral's name for it is "lncRNA (ENSCPOG00000035202.1)". The record is from RNAcentral. Lineage: Eukaryota; Metazoa; Chordata; Mammalia; Rodentia; Caviidae.